This 893-nucleotide long non-coding RNA is filed under the name Cucumis sativus (cucumber). Its description in RNAcentral is "long non-coding RNA (CSAT_LNC002036)". Lineage: Eukaryota; Viridiplantae; Streptophyta; Magnoliopsida; Cucurbitales; Cucurbitaceae. The record is from RNAcentral.
UUAUGUAUAGUUAUCAAGUCUUUAAGAGGUAGAGUCGAGCAUCAAGAAGUUAAUGGUAUUGAAAAUUAUCAAAUUGGAGCCACAACGAGGAAACUAGAUCAAAUGGAAGAAAAAAAUGCAAAAAUUACAAAGUUGCUGUUAGACAGAAGGCAAGCAGCAUAAUUGUGUAACAAUGCUACAAAAAUGUGCCAAGAGAGCCGCUGCUCUCCAACCUGCUACAAAGUAGAUUUUUUUUCGAUUUCUAGGCCAAUUCCUCUUGAGCUUUCAGGUCUAAUCUCAUUCUCUUCUACUCUUCACCUUUCCUAUGUAAUUCUUCAUUGGGUACAUUUGAAAAUAUUCCGUAUCUUUUAUAUGAUAAGGCAUAUCUACUUUACAAUUGAACUUGAAACUAAUGUUAUUGCACAUUCAAAUGCUAGAUGUUGAGCUUGGGUUGCACGAAGCUAAAUGCUUAUGUGGUUUUGGUUGAAGGAGUACGGAUCUAGUAGUCUUGAGUGGAUCAUUAGAGAUCGUGAUAGAAGAGGGAUUCUUAGUGGUUCUACUUUUACUACGAAGUGGUGGGACAUUAGCUUUACUAGAAGUUGAAGUCUUCCUGGAAGGUUUGACUGUGGUGCAAUGUGAAUGAGCUUAAAUCAACCACCUGUCAAUUGUGAUGGAGGUUGAUGGGUUAGAGAUGAUUAAGUUUUUGGGUAGGAAGGAUACGUCUUUUGUUUAGUUAAGUUUCUUGGUUGAGGAUAUUUUGUAAUUUAGGUGAUUAAUAUCUUCCUUUUCUAUCACAUCUCCAUAGAGGAAAACAAAACAGUUCAUGUCUUAGCAAUUUUAUCUUUCUUUUAUGGUGAUUCUUUGAUCUUCUCUCCCUCAUUUGUGAUGAAAUGAUCAUUAAUAGUUGGUACGCG